RNAcentral lists this long non-coding RNA (1080 nucleotides) under Triticum aestivum (bread wheat). RNAcentral's name for it is "long non-coding RNA (TAES_LNC011776)". Lineage: Eukaryota; Viridiplantae; Streptophyta; Magnoliopsida; Poales; Poaceae. The record is from RNAcentral.
GCCAAGUGGGGCCCAUCACCGAGAAAACCACCCCUCUCUUCCCACUAUCAUGUGGGACCCACAACAUACAAAAUAUCUGUAAAUUCUGCAUAACUUUUCGAUGCAAUAAUUAACACACCACAAACUAAUUAAAUAUACUAGCUAAUUACAUUGGGGCAAGUGUUAAAAGAAUACAAUGGGUCAACAAUUAGAUGUUGCCUCUAUAGUACAAGGAUGAGCUUGUCGGAGCCAAAGGAUUUGUAGCCGGAGCUGACCAAAUCCUCCUUGUCGGAGGAGAGAAGGAGAAUGAGCUUGUUGGCGCUAUUGGUGACGAUUCCAUGGCAGAUCUCGCCGGAUUCGCGGGAAAAUGGAGAUGGGGCAGCGAGGCAUGCAGGUCCCGCGGCGGAACAGAGUUAGAUCUGGGGCUCUUGGCGCCAUGGCCAUGGUGUUCUCCUGCGGGGACAUAGAGAGGGAUGUGAGGCAAGGGGAAAAGAAGAGAGAGCGAGAGAGAAAGGGGAGAGAAGGAAUACAGGGCAUCGGCGGGAUGACCUGCGGGUCUCACCAACAACGAGUUUCACGGCAAGAUGAGAUCCACAGGCGCGAGGUUGGUUUCAUGGCGUUGGGCAGCCAUGGAUCGAUCUGUAGACACGUGAACGAAGAGAGGGAAAGGGAUUAGAGAGGAGAAGUAAAAGGGAAGGAGGAGAAAAGCAACUGUGAAGAGAAGAGGGUGGUCCGAUGCUGCUCCGGUGAAGUCAAACGAUGGCGGCAGUGGAGUCUUCCGAUCCAGAUCGGGUCGAGGCCGGGGCUGGUGGCCACCGACGGGAAUGUCGACAUCGCUAGUGGUGAUGUGACCUUGCGCAGAACCAUGGAGGUGGAGGACUAAAGGAUAAGAUUUGAGUGAUGGGGGAGGGGAUCUCGGGCUAGGUUCUGACCAGCGGGAGAGAAGGCAGAGAAGAUCUGGAAUGGUUUUCACAGUGAUGGGCCCUACUUGGCAGUGUCUCGUGAGAGAGUGAGGAAGCAGGGGAAAAAGGUCCAGAGAAAAGUCCAAAGACGGUCAACACACAGUCAAACGACACUAACUAGACGGAAACGUGACGGAAG